Molecule: transfer RNA, 66 nt
Filed under: Luetkenotyphlus brasiliensis
Lineage: Eukaryota; Metazoa; Chordata; Amphibia; Gymnophiona; Siphonopidae
Description: tRNA-Cys
Source: RNAcentral
GGCUUUGUAGUAUAAUUGCGCAGGGGUGCAAAUCCUGAGAUGAAGAGUAGAAUUCUUUCGAGGCCU